AUGGGAUGGGGCGACGACGACGGCAACAACGGCCUUCUCUCGGUGCUUGCUGAUGUGGUUGCCAUCGACGCCGGCGACGAGUUGCAGCACGUAGACAUCAAAGGCUGCGGGUGUGACGGAGGAGCACCAUGGCGGGCGUGCAGGCCAUGUCUCUCUAUGUUAAGGGAGCAUUCCUCAAUUUUUUUGGGGUCCAAUGGAACAGCAGGAGUGUGGAGAAUUAACGCACUCGAGGACUCUGGAAUAUGGAUGGAGAGAACGACAGUUGAAGACAUGGAUAUUGUUGUCCGAGCACAUAUAAAGGGAUGGAAGUUUCUGUUAUGGUUUAUGACUUUUUUGUAUGGCAUUCAUAUCUUUACUGAUCAUUCAAGCAGUGCUACACGCAUUUCCAUUCAGUGUUAG
Molecule: ribosomal RNA, 399 nt
Filed under: Triticum aestivum (bread wheat)
Lineage: Eukaryota; Viridiplantae; Streptophyta; Magnoliopsida; Poales; Poaceae
Description: partial small subunit ribosomal RNA
Source: RNAcentral